UACAGAGGUCUCAAGCGUUGUUCGGAUUCAUUGGGCGUAAAGGGUGCGUAGGUGGCGAGGCAAGUCUGGUGUGAAAUCCCGGGGCUCAACCCCGGAACUGCACUGGAUACUGCUUUGCUAGAGUACUGGAGAGGAGAUUGGAAUUUACGGUGUAGCAGUGAAAUGCGUAGAUAUCGUAAGGAAGACCAGUGGCGAAGGCGGCUUCCUGGACCGACACUGACGCUGAGGCGCGAAAGCUAGGGGAGCAAACGGG
Molecule: ribosomal RNA, 253 nt
Filed under: uncultured bacterium
Lineage: Bacteria
Description: partial 16S ribosomal RNA
Rfam family: Bacterial small subunit ribosomal RNA
Source: RNAcentral